Molecule: long non-coding RNA, 323 nt
Organism: Vitis riparia (riverbank grape)
Lineage: Eukaryota; Viridiplantae; Streptophyta; Magnoliopsida; Vitales; Vitaceae
Exons: 2
Source: RefSeq, a predicted model, not a curated record
AUGAAGGAGUUUUCGGACCGCCAUUUCUGGAAUGCUGCUGCAUCGGUCAGAGGUGGUCACCGAGUCUCGCCGUAAGAUGGAGUGAGGAGUUGUCGAAUGCACCGGCCGAGCCAUGGAGGAGUUUAUCUCUGACUCUCUUUCCUGGGUUGUCGAUUGACUGGACUCAUGGCUGUCUCCUUUUUGGGUAGCCAUGGAUUGAUUAGGGUUUUAGAGCAAUCCGUGCUCUGAUACCAUGAAGAAACUGAGAAUCAUUUAAUUGUAUAUUCAAUCGUGUAUUUUUUACAUAAUCGGGUCCCUAUUUAACGUAUACACAGAGAGCAAAA